UUAAGCAUAUCAAUAAGCGGAGGAAAAGAAACCAACAGGGAUUGCCUCAGUAACGGCGAGUGAAGCGGCAACAGCUCAAAUUUGAAAUCUGGCUCCUUUCAGGUGUCCGAGUUGUAAUUUGUAGAGGAUGCUUCGGCUUACGCCCCGGUCUAAGUUCCUUGGAACAGGACGUCACAGAGGGUGAGAAUCCCGUUUGUGGCCGGCGGCCUCUGCCAUGUGAAGCUCCUUCGACGAGUCGAGUUGUUUGAGAAUGCAGCUCUAAAUGGGAGGUAUAUUUCUUCUAAAGCUAAAUACCGGCCAGAGACCGAUAGCGCACAAGUAGAGUGAUCGAAAGAUGAAAAGCACUUUGGAAAGAGAGUUAAAAAGUACGUGAAAUUGUUGAAAGGGAAGCGCUUGCGACCAGACUUGCCCGCGGAUGCUCAGCCGGUCCUUCGGCCGGUGCACUCUUCCGCGGUCAGGCCAGCAUCAGUUCGGGCGGUCGGAUAAAGGCCUUGGGAAUGUGGCUCCUCUCGGGGAGUGUUAUAGCCCUUGGUGCAAUACGGCCCGCCU
Molecule: ribosomal RNA, 549 nt
Filed under: Pseudohelicoon subglobosum
Lineage: Eukaryota; Fungi; Ascomycota; Dothideomycetes; Tubeufiales; Tubeufiaceae
Description: partial 28S ribosomal RNA
Rfam family: Eukaryotic large subunit ribosomal RNA
Source: RNAcentral